GGGUAGGUAGCUCAGUUGGUAGAGCAACGGACUGAAAAUCCGUGUGUCGGCGGUUCAAAUCCGCCCCUGCCCA
Molecule: transfer RNA, 73 nt
Filed under: Phycisphaerae bacterium
Lineage: Bacteria; Pseudomonadati; Planctomycetota; Phycisphaerae
Also listed under: 7 other names
Description: tRNA-Phe
Rfam family: tRNA
About the family: Transfer RNA (tRNA) molecules are approximately 80 nucleotides in length.
Source: RNAcentral